AUGCAAGUCGAACGAUGAAGCUGGAGCUUGCUCUGGUGGAUUAGUGGCGAACGGGUGAGUAACACGUGAGCAACCUGCCCCUGACUCUGGGAUAACAGCCGGAAACGGCUGCUAAUACCGGAUAUGCACCAUGAACGCAUGUUCUGUGGUGGGAAAGAUUUUUCGGUUGGGGAUGGGCUCGCGGCCUAUCAGCUUGUUGGUGAGGUAAUGGCUCACCAAGGCGUCGACGGGUAGCCGGCCUGAGAGGGUGACCGGCCACACUGGGACUGAGACACGGCCCAGACUCCUAACGGGAGGCAGCAGUGGGGAAAUAUUGCACAAURGGCGAAAGCCUGAUGCAGCAACGACACGUAGAGGGAUGACGGCCUUCAGAAAUAUAAACCAUAAUAAUUAGGCAAGAACAGGAAGCAAAGGAAAUUACGGGUACCCUGACAGGAA
This 438-nucleotide ribosomal RNA is filed under the name bacterium S4-26. Its description in RNAcentral is "bacterial SSU rRNA". It matches the Rfam family "Bacterial small subunit ribosomal RNA", at positions 55 to 489 of the family's 1533-position model. The record is from RNAcentral.